RNAcentral lists this ribosomal RNA (867 nucleotides) under uncultured archaeon. RNAcentral's name for it is "bacterial SSU rRNA". It matches the Rfam family "Archaeal small subunit ribosomal RNA", at positions 1 to 878 of the family's 1478-position model. The record is from RNAcentral.
UCCGGUUGAUCCUGCCGGACCCGACUGCUAUCAGAGUGGGACUAAGCCAUGCGAGUCAACAUAGCAAUAUGUGGCAUACGGCUCAGUAACACGUAGUCAACAUGCCCAGGGGACGUGGAUAACCUCGGGAAACUGAGGAUAAACCGCGAUAGGUCAUCACUUCUGGAAUGGGUAAUGACUUAAAUCUAUAUGGCCCCUGGAUUGGACUGCGGCCGAUCAGGCUGUUGGUGAGGUAAUGGCCCACCAAACCUGUAACCGGUACGGGCUCUGAGAGGAGGAGCCCGGAGAUGGGCACUGAGACAAGGGCCCAGGCCCUAUGGGGCGCAGCAGGCGCGAAACCUCUGCAAUAGGCGGAAGCUUGACAGGGUUACUCUGAGUGAUUUCCGUUAAGGAGAUCUUUUGGCACCUCUAAAAAUGGUGCAGAAUAAGGGGUGGGCAAGUCUGGUGUCAGCCGCCGCGGUAAUACCAGCACCCCGAGUGGUCGGGACGUUUAUUGGGCCUAAAGCAUCCGUAGCCGGCUAUGCAAGUCUCCGGUUAAAUCCAACUGCUCAACAGAUGGGCUGCCGGAGACACUACACAGCUAGGGAGCGGGAGAGGUAGACGGUAUUCUGUGGGUAGGGGUAAAAUCCACUGAUCCAUAGAGGACCACCAGUGGCGAAGGCGGUCUACCAGAACGCGUUCGACGGUGAGGGAUGAAAGCUGGGGGAGCAAACCGGAUUAGAUACCCGGGUAGUCCCAGCUGUAAACGAUGCAAACUCGGUGAUGCAUUGGCUUAUGGCCAAUGCAGUGCCGCAGGGAAGCCGUUAAGUUUGCCGCCUGGGAAGUACGGACGCAAGUCUGAAACUUAAAGGAAUUGGCGGGGGAGCA